This 85-nucleotide transfer RNA is filed under the name bacterium BMS3Abin07. RNAcentral's name for it is "tRNA-Tyr". It matches the Rfam family "tRNA". From Rfam's summary of the family: Transfer RNA (tRNA) molecules are approximately 80 nucleotides in length. Their secondary structure includes four short double-helical elements and three loops (D, anti-codon, and T loops). RNAcentral also lists the same sequence under 3 other names. The record is from RNAcentral.
GGAGAGGUUCCCGAGCGGCCAAAGGGGACGGGCUGUAAACCCGUUGGUUCAGCCUUCGGAGGUUCGAAUCCUCCCCUCUCCACCA